UCAGAUUUCCCAUUCUUUUUUGCGUCCUUGGGUGUCACCUGACUGCAGAAGGAACAACGAAAAGGAAAGUUUGCUCAACUCCUGCAAUAUCAUGUUGGACCCUUCUCAGUACAAGCAGUAUAUUUGAACAUUAAAGUAGACACACAUAUAUGAUUGCACACCUGCAUGUGUUGUAAUCUCUAACCGUAUCCAACCUCUAAAUUCCCUUGAUCGUCCAGGCUGGAGUGAGCUCGUUAGUGACAGAGUGAAUGACAAAGAGGAAUGUGACAUGAAACCCAAUGCGAUUGUGACAUUUUGCUGUGAGUGUGCUGGGCAUGCUGGUAGCUGGCUGAUGGGUAUCCCUGCAUCAAGUGUGCAAGGAGCAACCUCAGGCUGCAAGAAAGUAAUCCCAAUAGAGCCUCAUGUGAAGAGAAACCUGAAGUGGCCCAUAAGUUACAAACCUGCUGCUGUCAGCUGGUGGUACUCAAGGUGGGUUCCGAGUGCUAUCUACAAUACGCCAGCACUCUGCAGAGGUUCAAGACUGGAUGAUUUUUGGGUUAUGGGCCUUAGAUUCCUCUUCGGUAAUUAGUCACGGAAGCCAACAGUCUGUGCACAGGAAUUAAGAGGGAAAGAGAACUUUAAGGAAAACAAGCCCAUGUGGGAGCAGGGCCUGGGAGGUGGAACAGGGAGGCAUCAAGUGGAAAUAGGUCUGGAUGAUACUGUACAAGUGAAUGGAAAAUGGGUUGAGUUGGUAGCAAUGCCAGCAUGAAGAAUGUAAUGAGAAACUUACAAAAGGAGAAAUAAGAAUGCACAAGUUACCUGUCCUGAAAAACUCUGAAGCACAUGAAUAGCAGACUGAGAAAGCUGCCUCCUCACAAACCCCCAGUUUCUUGGAGGACCUACUCUUCUUCAAUUGGCCUGGGAGCAAUGUGCAUUUAGAAAGUCCUAAUCCAGUUUGGAUUCGUCUUGAACUUCUUGUUAAAAAAAGCCAUCUUGUUUCCAGUUCUGCGCCCUACCCAGCAACAUUCUUGCCACUAAGAUCAGCAAUCUGAUUAUGUAGCUGAAAGACUGUGGCAUUCACCAGAGACAGAGAUGUGACACUGACACACCUCAUAUGCAGGCUAUUUCCCUUGUCCUGUGAAGAUUUGGAUAAGGCAAGAGUAGCUAGAUGCUAACGUUGCAAAUGGCACCCUUAACUAGUUUGUUUAACAAAAGAGAUGAUUUUUUGCUGCUAAUUGCGCCUAUGUGAACCCGAGGAAAACUACCCUGGAUUUCCAGCAUGACUCAAAAGAGCAGAACUUCAUCUACUCUUUACUUCUGUUCUCACUUGCAUUUGUCUUUGUCCUAGCUUCUUUCCUCCUUGCUCCAAACCCAUUUUCAUGUUUUAGAGCAUCUUGAAGCAUUUCACAUGUAUAGUUUAAUUAACAGUUUCAGACCAGCCUUUAGAAAUAGGCCAGAAGCCUUUAUCUGACAGAAUAAAGCUAGGGUGUUUUGCCUUGUUGCUUUGAAUCUGAAGGAUGAUGGCUAUCUGCUAGACAAAAUAGAGCAUUCAUGAAUAUGCUGAGCUGAAUAGACCCUGGGACAGAUCUGUGAGGGACUUGCCUGGUAACUUUCCUUCACUUUGACAAAGUUCUCUGUUAUUAUUUCUGUUUAUUGCAUUUUAUAUUUGU
This is a long non-coding RNA of Pezoporus occidentalis (night parrot), 1649 nucleotides long. RefSeq lists it as uncharacterized. NCBI's taxonomy places the organism in Eukaryota, Metazoa, Chordata, Aves, Psittaciformes, Psittacidae. The transcript has 3 exons. The record is from RefSeq and is a predicted model, not a curated record.